This 76-nucleotide transfer RNA is filed under the name Bacillota bacterium. Its description in RNAcentral is "tRNA-Cys". It matches the Rfam family "tRNA". From Rfam's summary of the family: Transfer RNA (tRNA) molecules are approximately 80 nucleotides in length. Their secondary structure includes four short double-helical elements and three loops (D, anti-codon, and T loops). The record is from RNAcentral. RNAcentral also lists the same sequence under 4 other names. Lineage: Bacteria; Bacillati; Bacillota.
GGCGCCAUAGCCAAGUGGUAAGGCAGGGGACUGCAAAUCCCCGAUUGCUCCAGUUCAAAUCUGGAUGGCGCCUCCA